This 1036-nucleotide long non-coding RNA is filed under the name Chrysemys picta bellii (western painted turtle). Its description in RNAcentral is "lncRNA (ENSCPBG00000019842.1)". Lineage: Eukaryota; Metazoa; Chordata; Testudines; Emydidae. The record is from RNAcentral.
UUUCCUGUCCUUUCAUUCAACUUUCAGUCCUGCCCAACAAGUUAUAAGUCAGCUUCAGGAAAGCAUUGACUUUGAUUUGACGCCAGCAUUCCCUUGUGCACUGCGAGACAGUGGACAAGCAUUACACAUGAUCUUGCCUUCAGGGUUGCAAUUCAGCCCUGUAGUAGUGUCUGGCAGGGCUGUAUUAUAAGUCCUUAUCAUGUUUAUUUCACUUUUCAUUCGCAUUCCCUCCAGUCGUUUGAUUUUUAGCCUCAGGGCAGAUUCAGCUAUAUAUCCAAAGAUGCAACUUUACAUUGAAUUAAUGUGUAUUUAUUUGCUAUUUAAGAAGUUAACAAAAAAGGAAUAGGUGUCACUAUUUUGCUUAUGGUGGGAAUUUGACAACACACUCAACCAAGUACAACAUGCACCUAGAAUCUUAACUAGUUUCAUUGCACCAUCGACACGGUUAUUUCGACAGCCCUGCUCUCCAGCAUCUGGCAUAAUUGGAAGCAGCAGCCAGCAGGUAUCAAAUGUCAGUAUGAAUUGUCUCCUGCUGCAGGGAUUAAGAAUAUUCAUAUGUACUGGAGAGAAACUAGCAAACUGGAUUGGUCUCUGGUUAUCUUUGGUUACAUUGGAAUCUUCAGCCAUCAAGGAAUCCUAAGAAAGAAAAGCAAAACUAAUAUGUAACCCAUCCUUCCAUUGCCACACAAAGAACAGAGCUGAUAGGCAGAAGAGAGUGGUACCGAUUAGAUCUGCAGCAGUGAUUCACAGCCUGGGAUUAUAGUUUCUGCAAUUUGCUUGAGUUUGUACAACCCAAAUAUCAGAUAACAUUAAGGUUUACAUUUUCCAUGGAACGGUGUCUCAAGAAUGUAUUGAUUCCUGCAGCAUCAGAUUACUCCAGAGCUUGAGAAGACCAAAAGGAGAAUUAUACAUUUUUUCCUGCUGACCUUCGAAAAACAAGAUUGUAUAACCACAUAUAUAGCUCUGUGUGACCUUGAAGGGCAUGAAUCUGAAAGUUGCUCACGAUUUACCACAGCUUUUCUUUAAACAAUUAAAA